GUGAGUCAUCGAAUCUUUGAACGCAUAUUGCACCUUCUGGUAUUCUGGGAGGUAUGCCUGUUCGAGCGUCAUUACGACCAACAAGCCCUUAAGCUUGGUAUUGGAUGUUACUAUUUAAUGGUGCGUCUUAAAAUCAAUAAGCAGCAUUCUUAGCUUCGGCGGUAGUAAAUUUAUCCGCUUUCGGCGCUUUAGAUAUUCUGCUAAGUUAUCAAAUUAUCAUGGCUUGACCUCGGAUCAGGUAGGGAUACCCGCUGAACUUAAGCAUAUCAAUAAGCGGAGGA
This 281-nucleotide unclassified non-coding RNA is filed under the name fungal sp. GS34. RNAcentral describes it as "partial contains 5.8S ribosomal RNA, internal transcribed spacer 2, and large subunit ribosomal RNA". The stretch from base 1 to 71 matches the Rfam family "5.8S ribosomal RNA", at positions 84 to 154 of the family's 154-position model. The record is from RNAcentral. Lineage: Eukaryota; Fungi.